GCAUGGACUUGUAUUUGUGCAUAGGAUGCUGGCAUAAUGGCCUUAAGCGACCCGUCUUGAAACACGGACCAAGGAGUCUAACAUGCCUGCGAGUGUUUGAGUGGGUAAACUCGAGCGCGUAAUGAAAGUGAAAGUUGAGACCUCUGUCAUGGAGGGCAUCGACGCCCGGACCAAAGUCUAUUGACGAUGGAUCUGCGGUAGAGCAUGUAUGUUGGGACCCGAAAGAUGGUGAACUAUGCCUGAAUAGGGUGAAGCCAGAGGAAACUCUGGUGGAGGCUCGUAGCGAUUCUGACGUGCAAAUCGAUCGUCAAAUUUGG
Molecule: ribosomal RNA, 317 nt
Filed under: Austroboletus sp. 5 GB-2014
Lineage: Eukaryota; Fungi; Basidiomycota; Agaricomycetes; Boletales; Boletaceae
Description: LSU rRNA
Rfam family: Eukaryotic large subunit ribosomal RNA
Source: RNAcentral